This 497-nucleotide ribosomal RNA is filed under the name uncultured bacterium. Its description in RNAcentral is "partial 16S ribosomal RNA". It matches the Rfam family "Bacterial small subunit ribosomal RNA", at positions 28 to 507 of the family's 1533-position model. The record is from RNAcentral.
GAUGAACGCUGGCGGCGUGCCUAAUACAUGCAAGUCGAGCGAACGGACGAGAAGCUUGCUUCUCUGAUGUUAGCGGCGGACGGGUGAGUAACACGUGGAUAACCUACCUAUAAGACUGGGAUAACUUCGGGAAACCGGAGCUAAUACCGGAUGAUAUUUUGAACCGCAUGGUUCAAAAGUGAAAGACGGUCUUGCUGUCACUUAUAGAUGGAUCCGCGCUGCAUUAGCUAGUUGGUAAGGUAACGGCUUACCAAGGCAACGAUGCAUAGCCGACCUGAGAGGGUGAUCGGCCACACUGGAACUGAGACACGGUCCAGACUCCUAAGGGAGGCAGCAGUAGGGAAUCUUCCGCAAUGGGCGAAAGCCUGACGGAGCAACGCCGCGUGAGUGAUGAAGGUCUUAGGAUCGUAAAACUCUGUUAUUAGGGAAGAACAUAUGUGUAAGUAACUGUGCACAUCUUGACGGUACCUAAUCAGAAAGCCACGGCUAACUACGUG